RNAcentral lists this ribosomal RNA (240 nucleotides) under uncultured bacterium. RNAcentral's name for it is "partial 16S ribosomal RNA". It matches the Rfam family "Bacterial small subunit ribosomal RNA", at positions 29 to 300 of the family's 1533-position model. The record is from RNAcentral.
AGCGAACGCUGGCGGCAGGCUUAAUACAUGCAAGUCGAGCGCCUGUAGCAAUACAGGAGCGGCAGACGGGAGAGUAACACGUGGGAACGUGCCCUUUGGUUCGGAACAACACAGGGAAACUUGUGCUAAUACCGGAUAAGCCUUACGGGAAGAUUAUCGCCAAAGAUCGCCGCGUCUGAUUAGCUUGUUGGUGAGGUAAUGGCGUCACCAAGGCGACGAUCAGUAGCUGGUCUGAGAGGA